UCAUGGGGGAUGAAAGACGAGUGUUUCAAGUGAUUUUGCAUAUGGUUGGAAGCCUGUUAAAUGGAAACAACGUGGGAGGGUUUGUAAUGUUUCGGGUUGCUUCUGAGAAAGGGAGUCAGGGAAGGAGUGAUCAAAGGUGGGCAGCCUGGAGACAUAGCUCGUCUGAUGGUGAUGUGUGUGUUAGAUUUGAGCUUGGGAUAAGCAAUAGCGGCUCUCGGUCAGAGGUCACAACACCAGCAGUGCAGCUUGUUGGUAGAAGAUACACCAGUGAAGGCGUUGAUGAGGGUUUGAGCUUCACCAUUUGCAAAAAGCUAGUGCAGGUGAGGGUGAUGAACUUUGUCUAUAUGUUUGAGUGUGUUUGUGUGUGUAGUAUAUCCCUUUGACUAAUGAUGGAACAAAAAUAUUACAAUUUUAAAGUUAGACUCUAUUCUUUUAGAGAUAGGAAACCCAAUAGCAGAAGAUGUUAGUAUAGCCAGAAUCUGCAUGAAAAUUUUCACCCUUGUGCUUGUAGGAUGUAACAUUUUUCUUUUUCUUCAAAAAUUCCCGUGUCAGAAAUUGGUGACCUAUGGUGCUAAUCAUAUUCAGAUAGCCCUUCUAAUGACCAGUUACAAGUUUUAGGACAGGCUCUCGAUAACCAAAGAUGUUAACCCUAUUUUUAUCACAGUAGAAUGUACAGGAACCUCACUCAGCCUUUAAUAGGUAAGGUUGUACGGGAAGAACUUAGUUUAAAAGCAUGGUAGCUUAUUUUACACAUAGCCAUUAAGAUUUUCGAACAUGAUAUUUCCCCUCAAAUCGUUACUAGUUUACUAGCAUUAAUACGAGGAAAUCUUUUGGAGAUAUAGUUUUUUCAGAUUCGCAAACCUUUACAAUUUACAUAUAUCUGCUAGUUCUACAUUGACUGUUCAUAAAGUUUUACUUGGUUGGAAUUUUCUUUUUUAAGUAUUAAUUCUUAAUUGUCAGAUGAUGCAAGGAAAUAUAUGGGCAGUCCCUAACCCUCAAGGAUUUGCUCAAAGCAUGGCACUUGUUCUUCGGUUUCAACUUCGUCCCUCCAUUGCAAUAGCCAUCUCUGAACCUGGAGAAUCAUCUGAGUACCCACAUUCCAAUUCACUUUUCAAAGGAUUGCAAGUUUUAUUAACCGAUGAUGAUGACGUGAACAGGGUUGUGAUGCGGAAAAUGCUCGAGAAGC
RNAcentral lists this long non-coding RNA (1186 nucleotides) under Malus domestica (apple). RNAcentral's name for it is "long non-coding RNA (MDOM_LNC012165)". Lineage: Eukaryota; Viridiplantae; Streptophyta; Magnoliopsida; Rosales; Rosaceae. The record is from RNAcentral.